Molecule: ribosomal RNA, 547 nt
Filed under: uncultured bacterium
Lineage: Bacteria
Description: bacterial SSU rRNA
Rfam family: Bacterial small subunit ribosomal RNA
Source: RNAcentral
GGAAUAUUGGGCAAUGGGCGCAAGCCUGACCCAGCGACGCCGCGUGAGGGAUGAAGGCCUUCGGGUUGUAAACCUCUUUCAGUAGGGAAGAAGCGAAAGUGACGGUACCUAAAGAAGAAGCACCGGCUAACUAUGUGCCAGCAGCCGCGGUAAUACAUAGGGUGCAAGCGUUGUCCGGAAUUAUUGGGCGUAAAGAGCUCGUAGGUCGUUUGACACGUCGAUUGUGAAAAUCUGAGGCUCAACCUCAGACCUGCAGUCGAUACGGUCAAACUAGAGUGUGGUAGGGGAGACUGGAAUUCCUGGUGUAGCGGUGGAAUGCGCAGAUAUCAGGAGGAACACCAAUGGCGAAGGCAGGUCUCUGGGCCAUAACUGACACUGAGGAGCGAAAGCGCGGGGAGCGAACAGGAUUAGAUACCCUGGUAGUCCGCGCCGUAAACGGUGGGCACUAGCUGUGGGUCCCUUCCACGGGAUCCGCGACGCAGCAAACGCAUUAAGUGCCCCGCCUGGGGAGUACGAUCGCAAGAUUAAAACUCAAAUGAAUUGACGG